Molecule: long non-coding RNA, 213 nt
Filed under: Oryza brachyantha (malo sina)
Lineage: Eukaryota; Viridiplantae; Streptophyta; Magnoliopsida; Poales; Poaceae
Description: long non-coding RNA (OBRA_LNC002129)
Source: RNAcentral
UCCUGCAGUCUAAUUUAUUUGUUUGCGUUUGUACUGAUGAUUUAUCCAUUUAUCAUCUCUUGAAGUGGCCAAUGCUUAAUUGCUUAAAGAUUUUUGAAGUAAUUGUAUUCCAUAAGCCAAGUUCUAGCAUGUGGCAAUUUUGACAUCAAUUAUUUUUCAUAAAGUAUGUGGUUUAUUUCCUGAAAAUUGAGUUUUCUGCUGCAGCGAUUAGCC